RNA transcript from Hipposideros armiger (great roundleaf bat), 3277 nucleotides. It is a transcript of the gene named serine/threonine kinase 35, with no coding region annotated. NCBI's taxonomy places the organism in Eukaryota, Metazoa, Chordata, Mammalia, Chiroptera, Hipposideridae. The transcript is spliced from 5 exons. The record is from RefSeq and is a predicted model, not a curated record.
CAAUCAGUAUUUAUUAGGCGCCUACUGCGUCCAGUUCCUCCUCACGCAGCGCUGACGCGGAGAUCGGAGAUUGCGGCGCGCACGCGGCUGUGGCAGGAGGCCGAAGCGGAUCGCGGGAAUUUGGCGCCUGCUUUUUGUAGGUUGGGUGUUCUCAACUGUGAUUGGGCCCCAGCUGCGGCUGCUCGGUCGGCUGUGGCAGGGCCGGGGCGGCUAGGUACGCGACCGGCCUCCCGAGGAAUGGGGCACCAGGAGCCUCCGCUGGCCCGAAUGCCCGCGGGAGGUGCGGCUUAUAUAAAAAGGUUAUGUAAAAGAAUCAGCUGGCGCGAACACGUGGAGAGCCGCAGGAGUCUGGACGCCCGGUUCUCACCCGCGUGCGGCGCUGCGACUCCCGGUGCAGCAGCAGACUGCGGCGAACACCCGUCGCAGGCCAGUGCCUCUCGCGCAGCUCGGUACCCAAGGAGGCCCUGGCCGGGAGCCGACCAUCCCCAGCCUGAGGCUCCAGGGGGUAAACGGGCCGCCCGGAAGUGGAGGGGCGCCCGCCAGGUCACAAUCCAAGCUCCCGCUCCUCCGCGUCCUGGGGUCGGACGGAGGGAUGUGGCAGGGGGGCGCCAGGCAGCGCCGUUGCUGCUCCCCCCACCGCCCGCAGCCAUGGAAACGGGGAAGGAGGACGGCGCCCGCAGAGGUACACAAAGCCCCGAGCGGAAAAGGCGAAGCCCAGUGCCGCGAGCGCCCAGCGCGAAGCUGAGGCCGGCGGCAGCGGCCCAGGCCAUGGAUCCGGCGGCGGCCGAGGCCCCGGGCGAGGCCUGUCUGGCGCGGCGGCGGCCUGAGGGAGGCGGUGGGUCCGCGCGGCCGCGCUACAGCCUGUUGGCGGAGAUCGGGCGCGGCAGCUACGGCGUGGUUUACGAGGCAGUGGCCGGGCGGAGCGGGGCCAGGGUGGCGGUCAAGAAGAUCCGCUGCGACGCCCCGGAAAACGUGGAGCUGGCGCUGGCCGAAUUCUGGGCCCUGACCAGCCUCAAGCGGCGCCAUCAGAACGUGGUGCAGUUUGAGGAGUGCGUCCUCCAGCGGAACGGGCUAGCCCAGCGCAUGAGCCACGGUAACAAGAGCUCGCAGCUUUACCUGCGCCUGGUGGAGACCUCGCUCAAAGGAGAAAGAAUCCUGGGUUAUGCUGAGGAGCCCUGUUAUCUCUGGUUUGUCAUGGAGUUCUGUGAAGGUGGAGACCUGAAUCAGUACGUCCUGUCCCGGAGGCCGGACCCAGCCACCAACAAAAGCUUCAUGCUACAGCUCACGAGCGCCAUUGCCUUCCUGCACAAAAACCACAUCGUGCACAGGGACCUAAAGCCAGACAACAUCCUUAUCACGGAGCGGUCUGGCACCCCCAUCCUCAAGGUGGCAGACUUUGGACUAAGCAAGGUCUGUGCUGGGCUGGCCCCCCGAGGCAAAGAGGGCAAUCAAGACAACAAAAAUGUGAAUGUGAAUAAAUACUGGCUGUCCUCAGCCUGUGGCUCAGACUUCUACAUGGCCCCUGAAGUCUGGGAGGGACACUACACAGCCAAGGCUGACAUCUUUGCCCUGGGCAUUAUCAUCUGGGCAAUGAUAGAAAGAAUCACUUUCAUUGACUCUGAGACCAAGAAGGAGCUCCUGGGGACCUAUAUCAAACAGGGAACUGAGAUCGUCCCUGUUGGUGAGGCGCUGCUAGAAAACCCAAAGAUGGAGUUGCACAUCCCCCAGAAACGCAGGACUUCCAUGUCUGAGGGGAUCAAGCAGCUCUUGAAAGAUAUGUUAGCUGCUAACCCACAGGACCGGCCUGAUGCCUUUGAACUUGAAACCAGAAUGGACCAGGUCACAUGUGCUGCUUAAAAUUCAGGGCAAAGCAUCUUGGGUGUUUUUAAACUAGGAUUAUCGGUUCAUCUACAUUUCCAGAAGUGGAAUUGCAGGGUCUACAGGUCAGAACACUUCUGUAGCUCUGAAAACGCAUCGCCAAAUUGCUCUCCAAAAGGCUUUGUUACUUACCCCCUCCCGGUGGGGUGUGUGCCCUUUGCGUGGCACCCUCACCCAGCUACGAGCAGUGUUAAUGGCUAAAUGGCUGAGACCAUGGCCUGUUGAAAUCUGUUGGGUUUUCGGAAAAGUCAUGACGCAUUUUUGCAAUUGGAAAACAUAGAAAAAAUACGUCAUGACUUUUCCAACAACCCAAUAACACGCUCAUCACUCCUGGUGGGGACAAAUGGCUGGCGAGGAUGGACUCAGAGAGUAUGUCAGUUCCAGUUGUGGGGCAGGUACUCUUUAGUUAUUAGAGCCCCACCCCCCACCAACCUCAGAGAAGAAAACUGAGGCUGACGGAUAGGAAGUAAAUGGUCCAGCGUCGCCGUACCCCACUGCCUCUCGUGAGGACUAGCCAGGCGUCUCCCCAGGACCUGAGGACAAUGGGCCAGUGUUGUCAGACUGCACAUGUGGCACGUAAUGACUGAUCCUCGGGACCCACAGUCUCAUCCUGUCUCGCACAGAGGACGGCAGAGGGUACAGGUGGUGGCUUGACCGGUUGGCAAUCUCCCGACAGCUGGACAUCCAGCAAUGUGAAGCUUUUGUUUGGAUUUUCCCCCUUCUUUUGUUUUGCUUAAUUUUUUUUAUCUUCCUCUUUUUUUCCUCUUGUUUUCUUUUUUAAUUUAAACAAUUGAAACUUCAAAAGAGCAGAAGCUGUGCUAUGGACAGGCACCCAUUUCUUUAAAGAAAUUCAAUAUGGACAAAGCAUAUGUAUAAAUUUCAUUUUUAAUUUUUAUAAGGGGUUAGGGAGCUAUUUUGUUUUUGUCCUUUAUUUUUCCCUGUCGUUUACCCAUUUCUCAGCUCUGCUUUUAACACCUCACUUGCCCAGAGAAGGCCUGCCUUCCCAUGGAGAAUUUGGGGAUUUCUCCUGGAACGGGGACAUGAAGGCAGAAGGAGGCCUCGGGGCCACCUCCCCACCAGACGCAGGCGCUGCCGGACUCUCUGGUGGGCUGCUCCUGGCCAGCCCUUGGGCCUUGGAAAUGAACAGAGGUGAAGAACCACCUGGAAGAGGAAGACCAGGGUUUGGCCAGGAAAACUCAAGAAAGCAACUCUAAACUGUGGGUGUGUUCUCUUUAAGCUGUUGGAAGCCCCAGGUCACACCAGGACUUACAGUGGUGGGAAUCUGUUCCCUCUACUGCCCUUUAUAACCCAGCGCUCUGAGAGGGAGGGACAGAAGGUAGCCAUCUCCCACUUCCAGCAGUUGAGCAGCCAGCCCACCCCAGCUCCACAAGCCUACCUU